CCCACUAAUCCCUCCCUUUCCACCCAUCCUCCCCAGUCCCUUUCCCUUUGGUAACUCUUAGUCCAUUCUUGGGUUCUGUGAGUCUGCUGCUGUUUUGUUCCUUUAGUUUUUUGUUUGUUCUUAUACUUCACAGAUGAGUGAAAUCAUUUGAUACUUGUCUUUCUCCGCCUGGUUUAUUUUACUGAGCAUAAUACGCUCUAGGUCCAUUCAUGUUGUUGCAAAUGGUAGGAUUUGUUUUCUUCUUAUGGCUGAAUAAUAUUCCAUUGUGUAUAUGUACCACAUCUUCUUUAUCCAUUCAUCUGCUGAUGGACACAUAGGUUGUUUCCAUUUCUUGGGUACUGUAAAUAGUGCUGCGAUAAACAUAGGGGUGCAUAUGUCUUUUUUCAAACUGGGCUCCUGCAUUCUUACAGUAAAUUCCUAGGAGUGGAAUUCCUCAGUCAAAUGGUAUUUCUGUUUUUAGUUUUUUACGGAACAUCCAUACUGCUUUCCACAAUGGUUGAACUAAUUUACAUUCUCACCAGCAGUGUAGGAGGGUUUCCCUUUCUCCACAUCCUAGCCAACAUUUGUUGUUGUUUGUCUUUUGGAUAGUGGCGAUCCUUACUGGUGUGAGGUGAUAUCUCAUUGUGGCUUUAAUUUGCAUUUCUCUGAUGAUUAGUGAUGUGGAGCAUCUUUUCAUGUGCCUGUUGGCCAUCUGAAUUUCUUCUUUGGACAAGUGUCUGAUCAGCUCCUCUGCCCAUUUUUUAAUUGGAUUAUUUGCUUUUUGCCCUCUAAACCCAUUUUGUUGAGAGUUUUUAUCAUGAAUGGAUGUUAUAUUUUGGAUGUUAACCCUUUCUCAGAUAUGUCAUUUAUGAAUAUAUUCUCCCAUACUGUAGGAUGCCUUUUUAAGCUUUUUAGCUUGAUAUAGUCCCACUUGCUCAUUUUUGUUUUUGUUUCCCUUGCCCGGGGAGAUAUGUUCAUGAAGAAGUUGCUCAUGUUUAUGUCCAAGAGAUUUUUGCCUAUAUUGUUUUCUACGAGUUUUAUGGUUUCAUGACUUACAUUCAGGUCUUUGAUCCAUUUUGAAUUUACUUUUGUGUUAUGGGGUUAGACAAUGAUCCAGUUUCAUUCUCUUACAUGUAGCUGUCCAGUUUUGCCAACACCAGCUGUUAUUUCCCCAUUGUAUAUCCAUG
Manis pentadactyla (Chinese pangolin) is the source of this 1166-nucleotide long non-coding RNA. RefSeq lists it as uncharacterized. Lineage: Eukaryota; Metazoa; Chordata; Mammalia; Pholidota; Manidae. The record is from RefSeq and is a predicted model, not a curated record. The transcript is spliced from 3 exons.